Non-coding RNA from Pimephales promelas (fathead minnow), 452 nucleotides. The record is from RefSeq and is a predicted model, not a curated record. Lineage: Eukaryota; Metazoa; Chordata; Actinopteri; Cypriniformes; Leuciscidae.
CUGCUAAAGUCGGCGAACUGCAUCUCUCGGAAAGCAACGAGUAAGAGCAGGCAUGCCAGCAGACUUUCAAACUCUCAGUCUAAGCAAAGGCAGUCUGUGGUGUUCAUGAUUCCUAAUACACCGAAGAGCAACGGUGGAGGUAGUUUGCUUCGCCGAGGCCUCAGACUCCAUAAAGACGCCUGCAAAACCCCCCCAAGGGCCAGUGGGGGCCUGAGAAAACGUCCUCUCAACAAACCUUCCAAAACCUCCGACGCCAAACUGGGAGCGCAAAACAGAAGUAACUGUGCCGACCGUCUUUCCUGAAGACUGUAAACUCCAGGAUCAUUUGGGAAAAAAUCCUCGAUUUAUUUGUAUUGGCGAUUUUAUUGUUUGUCUUCUGUUCACUUUAUAGAUUUGAAUUUUGCAAUGUUUAAAAUAAUGCAAUGUGUUAAAAAUAAAGUAUUUUUAUUACA